RNAcentral lists this RNase P RNA (377 nucleotides) under Filobacillus milosensis. RNAcentral's name for it is "Bacterial RNase P class B". It matches the Rfam family "Bacterial RNase P class B". From Rfam's summary of the family: Ribonuclease P (RNase P) is a ubiquitous endoribonuclease, found in archaea, bacteria and eukarya as well as chloroplasts and mitochondria. Its best characterised activity is the generation of mature 5'-ends of tRNAs by cleaving the 5'-leader elements of precursor-tRNAs. The record is from Rfam by way of RNAcentral. Lineage: Bacteria; Bacillati; Bacillota; Bacilli; Caryophanales; Bacillaceae.
UGUUUUGAGUAACCGCUCAAUUUUUAUUGAGAGGAAAGUCCAUGCUCACACAAGCUGAGAUGCUUGUAGUGUUCGUGCUUGACGAAACCAUAAGUCAAGGUAGCUAUUAUGAUAGCUAACGGCAGGGAAGCAAUCUAAGUCGUAAGAUAUGAUUGUGAAACCUUUAAAGUGCCACAGAGACGAGUUUGAUUGGAAACAAUCAAAGUGGAACGCGGUAAACCCCACGAGUGAGCAACCCAAAAAUAUGGUAGGGGCACUUUCUGCAGGGAAAUGAACCAAGCAGAAAGACAAGUUUAACUUGUAGAUAGAUGGUUACUGCCGGAGUACGAGGUUGACCACCGUUUGCAGUACUAAGGUACAGAACAUGGCUUAUAAAA